This 253-nucleotide ribosomal RNA is filed under the name uncultured bacterium. RNAcentral describes it as "partial 16S ribosomal RNA". It matches the Rfam family "Bacterial small subunit ribosomal RNA", at positions 524 to 776 of the family's 1533-position model. The record is from RNAcentral.
GACGGAAGGUGCAAGCGUUGCUCGGAAUCACUGGGCGUAAAGGGUGCGUAGACGGUUAUUUAAGUCAGGUGUGAAAGCCCCGGGCUCAACCUGGGAAUUGCAUUUGAGACUGAAUAGCUAGGGUGCGGAAGAGGGAAGCGGAAUUUCCGGUGUAGCGGUGAAAUGCGUAGAUAUCGGAAGGAACACCAGUGGCGAAAGCGGCUUCCUGGUCCAGCACCGACGUUCAGGCACGAAAGCGUGGGGAGCAAACAGG